Molecule: ribosomal RNA, 422 nt
Filed under: uncultured eukaryote
Lineage: Eukaryota
Description: SSU rRNA
Rfam family: Eukaryotic small subunit ribosomal RNA
Source: RNAcentral
CAAUAGCGUAUAUUAAAGUUGUUGCAGUUAAAAAGCUCGUAGUUGGAUUUCUGGCAGGAGCGACCGGUCCGCCGCAAGGUGUGCACUAGGUUGUCUCCAGUCAUCUUUGUGGGAACUGCUCUGGCAUUAGGUUGUCGGGGUUAGGGAACACAUCGUUUACUGUGAAAAAUUAGAGUGUUUAAAGCAGGCUUAUGCCGUUGAAUACAUUAGCAUGGAAUAAUAAGAUAGGACUUUGGUGGUCUAUUUUGUUGGUUUGCACACCAAGGUAAUGAUUAAUAGGGAUAGUUGGGGGUAUUCGUAUUUAAUUGUCAGAGGUGGAAUUCUCAGAUUUGUUAAAGACUAACUUAUGCGAAAGCAUUUGCCAAGGAUGUUUUCAUUGAUCAAGAACGAAAGUUAGGGGAUCGAAGAUGAUCAGAUACCGU